GGACCUGACUGCUAUCGGAUUGAUACUAAGCCAUGCGAGUCAUUGUAGCAAUACAAGGCAGACGGCUCAGUAACGCGUAGUCAACCUAUCCUAUGGACGGGAAUAACCUCGGGAAACUGAGUAUAAUGCCCGAUAGAACAUUAUACCUGGAAUGGUUUAUGUUCCAAAUGAUUUAUCGCCGUAGGAUGGGACUGCGGCCUAUCAGUUUGUUGGUGAGGUAAUGGCCCACCAAGACUAUUACAGGUACGGGCUCUGAGAGGAGUGGCCCGGAGAUGGGUACUGAGACACGGACCCAGGCCCUAUGGGGCGCAGCAGGCGAGAAAACUUUGCAAUGUGCGAAAGCACGACAAGGUUAAUCCGAGUGGUUUCUGCUAAAGGAACCUUUUGUCAGUCCUAGAAACACUGAUGAAUAAGGGGUGGGCAAGUUCUGGUGU
Molecule: ribosomal RNA, 434 nt
Filed under: uncultured archaeon
Lineage: Archaea
Description: bacterial SSU rRNA
Rfam family: Archaeal small subunit ribosomal RNA
Source: RNAcentral